This 257-nucleotide ribosomal RNA is filed under the name uncultured bacterium. RNAcentral's name for it is "partial 16S ribosomal RNA". It matches the Rfam family "Bacterial small subunit ribosomal RNA", at positions 524 to 778 of the family's 1533-position model. The record is from RNAcentral.
UACGUAGGGUGCAAGCGUUAAUCGGAAUUACUGGGCGUAAAGCGUGCGCAGGCGGUUUUGUAAGUCUGUCGUGAAAUCCCCGGGCUCAACCUGGGAAUUGCGAUGGAGACUGCAAGGCUAGAAUCUGGCAGAGGGGGGUGAGAAUUCCACGUGUGAGCAGUGAAAUGCGUAGAGAUGUGGAGGAACACCGAUGGCGAAGGCAGCCCCCUGGGUCAAGAUUGACGCUCAUGCACGAAAGCGUGGGGAGCAAACAAGGA